CUCUGAACAAAAGAAAAGACCGAAGCCUUUCUUCUUCCCUCUUCUCGAUUCUCUUGCAAAAGCUCUAUUUCUUCUUCAAAUUUUUCAAAUUAAAUCUUUCACUUUUGUUUAAUCACAAUAUGUGAGCCUUAUGUAUGAAACCCAAAAGCCCUAACACAAGUUGUAAUCUCAGAUUGUAUUUUUGAAUCAGGAGUAGAAAGUAUGUUUUCCAAUAAUAUCAUCGUGUAAAGUCCUUCUCGGUGUUGACAAUCUCUUUUGUUGGAACUCUCUGUAAAGAGAAAUUUUUUCUUACUUUAGGGAAGUAAGAUGAGUUAUAGACACUAUGCAAUGACUUUUCAAAGCAUGGAAAGCUCGACUGAGCAUUCGCUACUCUCGCCAUGUUGCUGAAGGAAACAUAUUGUCUCGUCGACCUGAAGAUGUUGAACUAGAGGACUGGAAAUACUUAGUAGAGUAUUUUGGAUGUCCGGAAUUUAAGAAAAAUCCUUCCACUGGAGAUAAGGAACCACUAGAUAGAGUUUGGGAGAUCCAACAUACACGUAAAAAUGAUAGAGGAGAAACAGUGUGGGUGGAUCCACAAUCCCAACAAAUUCAUUGCCAGCUCUAGGAACUUGUGGCUCAGCAACAAUCUGAAGAGAUAGAGCAUCCCAUGACUAGAGAUGAGAUUUUAUCCUCUGUUCUUGGUGAAAGGACAUGUUAUGUUCACGGUAAUGGGUAUGGAAGGAAGCCUCCAAAAAAGAGUCACACGCAAGCGACAAACAUAGAGGCUAGUAUGUCUUCUGCAA
Nicotiana tabacum (common tobacco) is the source of this 782-nucleotide long non-coding RNA. RefSeq lists it as uncharacterized. The record is from RefSeq and is a predicted model, not a curated record. NCBI's taxonomy places the organism in Eukaryota, Viridiplantae, Streptophyta, Magnoliopsida, Solanales, Solanaceae.